RNAcentral lists this long non-coding RNA (1975 nucleotides) under Homo sapiens (human). Its description in RNAcentral is "HSALNT0387077". The record is from RNAcentral. Lineage: Eukaryota; Metazoa; Chordata; Mammalia; Primates; Hominidae.
CCUCCCAUCCUAUUGCUGGCUCUCUGCUCUUUACUGCAACCACAUGUCACUUGGAUACCCCGGAGAGCGGCAGGAAAGCAUCAACCAGCUUCCAGAACAAACACCGUCCUGUCGACACCUUGAUCUUAGCCCCAGAGACCCAUUUCCAACUUCUGACUGCCAGAAAGAUGACAAUUCAUCAUUGAAUCCCCCAAAAGCAUGCAUCAAGGUAGGUACUAUUAGUUUCCUCAUCUUGUCGAUGAGGUCAUUUAAGCACAGAGAGUUUAGGCAAUCUGCUUAAGGUCACACAGCUCUUAGUGGCGUGGCCAGGAUGUGAACCCAGGUUGUCUGGCUCCAAGGGUAAUGUGUGCCUGCUCCCAUUUAUUUUCUUACACUGAGCUUUGCGAGCUCUACAAGAGCCUUGCCUUUCUCAGGCCUGGACAAUCACCUGUGCUGUCUCCACAGGGGGAUUCCUCCCCCCAUACUGCUGGGUCCGUGGACAGCCUCUCAAGCCACCUUAUCACUUAUCCACAGAAAUUUUUUCUCCUUUAAAGAAACCAAGCAUCACCAAAUCAAUAUUGAAACAUAUAUCUGGUUUCCAUUUCUAAGGGAAAACAUAGAAGUAAAGAGGUCAUCGAUCUUUCUUUUUUUUUCCAAUUUUAUAAUGUAACCCAAUAUUUUUAUAGAGAUACAAUUCACAUAACCUUAAAUUCACCCAUUUAAAAUGUACAAUUCAAUGGUUUAAGCAUAUUCACAAGGUUGUGCAACCAUCACCAUCUUCUAAUUUCAGAGAAUCUUCAUCACACCCCAAAAGGAUAUCCUGUUCCCAUUAAGUAGUAACUCCUCAUGAACCCCUUCUCUCAGCCGCUGGAACCACGAAUUUACUUUCUCCCUCUAUGAAUUUGCCUAUUCUGGCAUUCCAUGUAAAUGGAAUCAGACAGAAUGGUGUAGCCACAUCAGGUUUUUCUUCUGUCCUAAGUAAACCUGCCUGGUUGAUAAGUGAACGUUGCACGUUGUUGGGUUGUGCACCACAAGUCUAAUAUUCACCAUUUCUUCCUUCACCCUCCGUUCCAUUGUCAGUUUGCCAUUAUUUUGUGGCUCCCUUUGCGUGGGCAUGUUUGUAAGCUGCUCCAAACCCUUUUUGGAAUUGGGCAAUGCGAGAAUACAUAAAAACAUUGAUUCUCAAAUCAACCAAUAAUGAAAUUGAAUCCUACAAAAUGUGGCUUUUGUGUCUGGCUUGUUUCACCUCCUAGCAUGUUUUCAAGGUUAUUCCAUGUGGCAGCAUUAAUCAGGACAUCAUUCCUUUUUACAACUGAGUGAUAUUCCAUCAUGGGCCAUAACAUGAAUGUGUUUAUCCAUUCACCAUUUGGGUUGCUUCCACCUUUUGGCUAUUGGGAAUAAUGCUGCUAUGAACAUGUAUGCGAUCCGUUUUAUUGUACCUAAUUAGAAGGGAUUCCAGACAAGAUCCAGUGGCUUCCAGAGAGCUCUGCUGGCAUAGAGGCCUGUGAGCAAUUUGCUCUUCUUACACUCCAAGUCUCUGCGGUGAGAUGUCAACACCCCUUUGGAAUGUACCCCAGGGUCCAAGAAGGAGCAGUGGGUUCAUGUGCAGAGACUACAUUGUCCUUUCCCGUAGGGGAAGUGGGAGAAGAUUCUCCAUCUAAAAUACAAAGGGUUUCAUGAAAUGAAGAAACUUAAACUUGCAGAGGGAACCACUCCAAGGAGCCGAGUCUCAUGCUAACCUCUCUUUCAUGGUUAUUUUUGAUGCUAGAUCCACUGAAAUGCAUUAUGCUGCAUUGAUAUAUGGGAUACACAGUUUAUAUGGACUGCACACAUUAAGCAAGAUACAUACAUAUUUUAAAUGUAAUAUGAUAUGUCAUUAUGACUUUUUUUGUUUUCAGGAUUCGCUUUGAAUAAAAUUGUAAAAUACCUCUUAGGAGGGGUUGGGGACAAGUAAAAAAAGUUAUGUCCAAAAGCUCCAGUAAUCAAAGGCUUUGGG